AUUUGGUAGCUGUACAUCGGAAUUUUUUAAAAUGUAUGCUAAAGGUCAUACGAUUCCAUCCUUCAUUCUUUUUUGUAAACUUAUCGAUUUUUAAAAAAAGAAAAAAAAAAAUCAUCAAAGUUUGUUUGGUCUUUACAGGUACUCCGACUCUUGGACAGUCUUCAUAUAAACUUUCUGUUGUGGAAACUGCAGAGUUAAUACUGUGGCUCGCGUCCUCUGUGCUGACCUCAUGGUGUAACCACGAGUAAAGAUGAGCAUAAGCAGUGAUGAGGUCAACUUCCUCGUUUACAGAUACCUGCAGGAGUCUGGCUUCUCCCAUUCAGCGUUCACGUUUGGUAUAGAGAGCCACAUCAGCCAGUCGAACAUCAACGGCGCCCUGGUGCCCCCUGCUGCUCUCAUCUCCAUCAUACAGAAGGGCCUGCAGUACGUGGAGGCAGAAGUCAGCAUCAACGAGGAUGGCACCCUGUUUGACGGCCGGCCGAUCGAAUCGCUCUCGCUUAUUGAUGCAGUGAUGCCCGACGUGGUGCAGACGCGACAGCAGGCCUACCGGGAUAAGCUGGCCCAGCAACAGGCCGCUGCAGCACCCCCUGCUGCCACCAGCUUGCAGGGCAGCGCUAAGAAUGGCGAGAGCACCACCAACGGCGAGGAGAAUGGGGCUCACACCUUAGCAAGUGAUGGGUGUGACGGCACCUUUCUGUGCAGGUCCGGGGACUCGACGGCUCGCAUCUGGAACCUGAGCGAGAACAGUAGCAGCGGCUCCACGCAGCUCGUGCUGCGGCACUGCAUACGAGAAGGAGGGCAGGAUGUGCCGAGCAACAAGGACGUCACGUCACUAGACUGGAAUAGUGAAGGCACACUACUAGCAACUGGCUCUUAUGAUGGAUUUGCAAGAAUAUGGACGAAAGAUGGUAAUCUUGCCAGUACCUUGGGUCAGCACAAGGGUCCUAUUUUUGCCUUGAAGUGGAAUAAAAAAGGAAAUUUCAUUCUCAGUGCUGGUGUUGAUAAGACCACAAUCAUUUGGGAUGCUCACACCGGAGAAGCAAAGCAACAGUUUCCCUUUCAUUCAGCUCCUGCACUGGAUGUGGACUGGCAAAGUAACAACACGUUUGCUUCGUGCAGCACUGAUAUGUGUAUCCACGUGUGUAAACUUGGCCAGGACAGACCCAUCAAGACAUUCCAGGGGCACACAUGUCACAGAGGGCAUUGGCACUUGACUAUGGUUUUAUUACUGAGUUUUAGGGUUUUGGCUUCUUGGCAGAUCUGGAGUAUGAAACAAGACACCUGUGUUCAUGAUUUGCAAGCGCACAGCAAAGAAAUUUAUACUAUUAAAUGGAGUCCCACUGGGCCUGGAACCAACAACCCUAAUGCCAACCUUAUGCUUGCCAGUGCGUCCUUCGACUCGACUGUUCGACUGUGGGAUGUCGACCGAGGGAUCUGCAUCCACACAUUGACCAAACAUCAGGAACCCGUGUACAGUGUUGCCUUCAGCCCAGACGGCAGAUACUUGGCCAGUGGCUCCUUUGACAAGUGUGUCCAUAUCUGGAACACGCAGACUGGUUCUUUAGUUCAUAGCUACAGGGGAACAGGAGGCAUCUUUGAGGUUUGUUGGAAUGCCACAGGGGACAAAGUGGGCGCAAGUGCAUCAGACGGAUCGGUGUGUGUAUUAGACCUGCGGAAAUAACACUGCUUGUUGGAAGCCAUGGACCGACUAUGAAUGUGUACAUAGCCAAAAUUGACUGUCCCUGCCUCGUUUACUGCUGCGGUCCCAUCGGAACCAUGGCCGACCACUACAGCCAAAACAAGCAGAAUGAAGAAGAGAAGAGGGCGCGCUCCUACCCUGUUGUCCACGCUGGGGACACCACCCACUGACGCAAAACCGAUGUUAUGUGUCGACUUGGAAACGGAGGAAUAAGGACCCGUAUACAUGUACCAAAAUCUGAAAGAUUUCUUUUGGUUAGCCAAACCAAGGAUUUUUAUUCUUUAUUGGUAGAUCACUAUGUGUGUGACAUAUCUGCUUCACAUGUGGCAGGAGGAUUUUUUCCUUUCUAAACGUUUUUUUUUUUUUUUUUUUUUUUUUUUUUUAAUUUUAAUUUGAAUUUUUUUGUUUAGGUUACAGCUGCAUGAAAUGGCGGAGUCGAAUCGGCUUCCUCCACUUCUUCUGGAGAGAAUGCAGUUUUAAAAUGUCUUUGGCACUGUACGUAAUAUGGUUCAAACACGUGGGGCUGCUGUUUUUUUAUUUUAUUUUAAUUUUUAAUUUUCCUUUCUCUACUUUUGACUAUGGUUUUACUGUUGACAUACAGGUGCAGCAGAUUUUUUUAAGGGGAUAUUUAUUCUGCGGAAUAUAAAGGAAUACUAAAAAUAAGGUGGGCACAAAAAUUUGAGAAGAUGCAUUAUGCAUCAUUUUGCUUUAAAACCAUAAUUAUGGUUAGAUUGUGCACUAUUGAUAAAGCAACAUAAAAAUGUUCAUUCAUAGAACAUUCUGGACAAAGGAUGACUGCUGUAAGUGUAUUCAGGAAUCUCCCUUCAUUAGUAUAUUGCAGAUAACUUGUUGGUUCACAACAAAAUUAGACUUCAGUAUUAAUCACUGAUGAGGUGUAGCCUAUACGAAAUGUGCAUGGCACAGUUUAUUAAAAACGAACAUUAGAUAGACUAACAUCUACAAUAUAUCACUAGAAAAGGGAAGACUUGCUUUUUUUGAUAAACUUGUAAACUUGAACUUUUCCAGUUAAUGUUUCAUAGUUUUUCAUAUUUAGUUUUUUGACAGAAAUGCAGUAGUGCAGCAUCAAAUGUUGUUUUAAAUAUUAAAAGCUUAAAGCCAGUCUGGGUGCUGGGCAGGUGGAAGAAACUGCAGAGAGUGAUAUGGAACAAGCAUUGUAACCACAUCGAAACCUUAUUCACAGGACAUUGUUUUAUAUAUUACUCAUAAAUAAGGGUAGUUUUAUAGUGUAUUAUUUUGUGCCGUUUAAAACACAAUUGCCAGUGUGUGGAAAUUACACAUUACGUGGAAUGUUUUUACCAGACAGUGGUUCUCUCAGUUGUUGCUUCAGAAAAUCCAAUAAGAUUCUCCUAAAGAGGAUCAUUCUUUUGUCUUCUGUCUCACAUGUCUUUUGGCGGCUGAAACUAUUUUUUUUUUUUUUUUUUUUUAAAUAAAUUGUCCCCAGGAUUUGGCUGUUUAAAAUAU
This is a long non-coding RNA of Scleropages formosus (Asian bonytongue), 3181 nucleotides long. The record is from Ensembl. NCBI's taxonomy places the organism in Eukaryota, Metazoa, Chordata, Actinopteri, Osteoglossiformes, Osteoglossidae.